RNAcentral lists this transfer RNA (75 nucleotides) under Methanobacteriota archaeon. Its description in RNAcentral is "Euryarchaeota archaeon tRNA-Glu". It matches the Rfam family "tRNA". Rfam says of the family: Transfer RNA (tRNA) molecules are approximately 80 nucleotides in length. Their secondary structure includes four short double-helical elements and three loops (D, anti-codon, and T loops). The record is from RNAcentral. Lineage: Archaea; Methanobacteriati; Methanobacteriota. RNAcentral also lists the same sequence under 1 other name.
GCUUGUGUGGUGUAGUACGGCCCAUCAUAGUGGGUUUUCAUCCCGCCGACCCGGGUUCGAAUCCCGGCACGAGCA